UACGGGGCGCACCAGUCGCGAAAACUUCACAAUGGGAGAAAUCCCGAUGAGGGAAUACCAAGUGCCAGCACUUUUGUGUUGGCUGUUCCCCUGUCUAAAAAACAGGAGAAGUAAGGGCCGGGUAAGACGGGUGCCAGCCGCCGCGGUAA
Molecule: ribosomal RNA, 149 nt
Filed under: uncultured archaeon
Lineage: Archaea
Description: partial 16S ribosomal RNA
Rfam family: Archaeal small subunit ribosomal RNA
Source: RNAcentral